This 254-nucleotide ribosomal RNA is filed under the name uncultured bacterium. RNAcentral describes it as "partial 16S ribosomal RNA". It matches the Rfam family "Bacterial small subunit ribosomal RNA", at positions 524 to 776 of the family's 1533-position model. The record is from RNAcentral.
UACGUAGGGACCAAGCGUUGUUCGGAUUUACUGGGCGUAAAGGGCGCGUAGGCGGCAAUUCAAGUCAUCUGUGAAAUCUCCGAGCUUAACUCGGAACGGUCAGAUGAUACUGCUUUGCUAGAGUGCAGAAGGGGCAAUCGGAAUUCUUGGUGUAGCGGUGAAAUGCGUAGAUAUCAAGAGGAACACCUGAGGUGAAGACGGGUUGCUGGGCUGACACUGACGCUGAGUGCGCGAAAGCCAGGAGAGCAAACGGG